GGGGAAAUAGCUCAGUUGGUUAUAGUGCUGGUCUGUCACGCCAGAAGUCGCGGGUUCGAACCCCGUUUUCCCCG
RNAcentral lists this transfer RNA (74 nucleotides) under Larix sibirica. RNAcentral's name for it is "tRNA-Asp". It matches the Rfam family "tRNA". Rfam says of the family: Transfer RNA (tRNA) molecules are approximately 80 nucleotides in length. Their secondary structure includes four short double-helical elements and three loops (D, anti-codon, and T loops). Further hydrogen bonds mediate the characteristic L-shaped molecular structure. tRNAs have two regions of fundamental functional importance: the anti-codon, which is responsible for specific mRNA codon recognition, and the 3' end, to which the tRNAs corresponding amino acid is attached (by aminoacyl-tRNA synthetases). tRNAs cope with the degeneracy of the genetic code in two manners: having more than one tRNA (with a specific anti-codon) for a particular amino acid; and 'wobble' base-pairing, i.e. permitting non-standard base-pairing at the 3rd anti-codon position. The record is from RNAcentral. Lineage: Eukaryota; Viridiplantae; Streptophyta; Pinopsida; Pinales; Pinaceae.